GUUAAGCGACUAAGCGUACACGGUGGAUGCCCUGGCAGUCAGAGGCGAUGAAGGACGUGCUAAUCUGCGAUAAGCGUCGGUAAGGUGAUAUGAACCGUUAUAACCGGCGAUUUCCGAAUGGGGAAACCCAGUGUGUUUCGACACACUAUCAUUAACUGAAUCCAUAGGUUAAUGAGGCGAACCGGGGGAACUGAAACAUCUAAGUACCCCGAGGAAAAGAAAUCAACCGAGAUUCCCCCAGUAGCGGCGAGCGAACGGGGAGCAGCCCAGAGCCUGAAUCAGUAUGUGUGUUAGUGGAAGCGUCUGGAAAGGCGCGCGAUACAGGGUGACAGCCCCGUACACAAAAAUGCACAUGCUGUGAGCUCGAUGAGUAGGGCGGGACACGUGGUAUCCUGUCUGAAUAUGGGGGGACCAUCCUCCAAGGCUAAAUACUCCUGACUGACCGAUAGUGAACCAGUACCGUGAGGGAAAGGCGAAAAGAACCCCGGCGAGGGGAGUGAAAAAGAACCUGAAACCGUGUACGUACAAGCAGUGGGAGCACGCUUAGGCGUGUGACUGCGUACCUUUUGUAUAAUGGGUCAGCGACUUAUAUUCUGUAGCAAGGUUAACCGAAUAGGGGAGCCGAAGGGAAACCGAGUCUUAACUGGGCGUUAAGUUGCAGGGUAUAGACCCGAAACCCGGUGAUCUAGCCAUGGGCAGGUUGAAGGUUGGGUAACACUAACUGGAGGACCGAACCGACUAAUGUUGAAAAAUUAGCGGAUGACUUGUGGCUGGGGGUGAAAGGCCAAUCAAACCGGGAGAUAGCUGGUUCUCCCCGAAAGCUAUUUAGGUAGCGCCUCGUGAAUUCAUCUCCGGGGGUAG
This 861-nucleotide ribosomal RNA is filed under the name Escherichia coli. Its description in RNAcentral is "partial 23S ribosomal RNA". It matches the Rfam family "Bacterial large subunit ribosomal RNA", at positions 1 to 905 of the family's 2925-position model. Lineage: Bacteria; Pseudomonadati; Pseudomonadota; Gammaproteobacteria; Enterobacterales; Enterobacteriaceae. The record is from RNAcentral.